AAAAAAUACCCUUCCCCUCUUAAAUUAAAAAAAAAAAAGAAAAAUUCCUUUCACCUCACAAAAAUACUACCCGAUGCUCAAUUUGCCAAAAGAAUGCCGAUCUCAACGCUACCCUCCUCCCCUUCCUUUCCCCCCUCUCGAAAGAAAACUGCAUCCCCCGUGCAACACCCCAUUACAUUCCAUCUUCGAAGCGAGGCAUCAUCGCCCCCUAAAAUUCCCCGAAUACCUCCCCAUAAACCACCAUCCUCUCCCUUCACCCCCCUUCCGUGCCCCCCCCCCCUUCGCGUGGCUCGUCCAUUUUUCUCUGUCCAGCCUGGUGGGGGCACUCGGCGGUGUGUCCCCUUCGGCAGCGUACAAAAGCCUCGGUUUGCGUGCGCCGGUAUCUCCGACCUUAGACCCCAAGCUCGGCUCCUUAUUUCUCUUGGGGAGACGAGCAGGCUCGAAAAAACACGGGCGCGCGUGUUAUCGCGUGCGCGCAGGGGGCAUCGCGGCUAUCCUCCGUCCGUGGGUCACGCCGUGGGGUCAUCCUCGUGACCCGGCCGGAUCCGUCCGCCUAGCGAUGGGAACGAGAUGGGUUCGAUCCUCGGCAACGUUCCGUUGUUCCGAAUGAGCUGAUAAGUCGGAUGAUGGGAUUUUCUCGCUGGUUUAUUCGGGGAGGAUGGAGGGGGAGGGUGAUGUUAAUGGCGAGGGGGAGAAGAGAGGGGGGAUUUUAAACGGAUCGAUCUUGGAUAUUUGACGAUGGAAUUUUAGAACGAGUUAACGUUUUAUAGAAUAUUGGAGUAUUGUAUUGUUGUUUUCUACUAUAAUAAUAAUACGUUUUUGUUAUAAAGGGAAUAAAGGAGAGUUUCUUCUUUUUUUUUUCUUUCUUUCUUUCAAAUUCAUCAAUAUUUAUAAUAUAUUUAAUAAAAUCGGAAAGAGGAUGAUUAGAAAUUAUAAAUAUCGUACGCCAGCCGAGACAAUGAUAGUUUGGUGGUGUUGAAAUGGUUCUUUUCCACUUGAUUAUACAGAAGUCAUCGAUUUCAAAUGUGACCCAAGAUUUGCAAAUAAAUGGAACUAGAGGCUCUAAUCUGUGUAAUUUUUACAUACAUAAAUUCUUUUAUGCGAAACAGCUCUCGUUUCUUUUUCUUCUUCAAUUUUAUUAUAUAAAUUUUUCACUAUAUACGCGAUAGACCUUAACAUCGUCUUAUGAAAAUUCUUGUCAGAAAUUAACUUGGUUACAUUUUUUCUCUUUGGCUCGGCUAAGAUGAUCUUCUUUCAUCGAACGCAAGAACGAAAUUCUUUAUUAAAUAAUGAAUUUCUAUUUUCCAAAUCACACGAUCUCGCUCACUUUUUAUAUUUUAUCGCAUCCCAUCUUCGUAUUAUCUUAAAUACCAUCUCCUUUUCGUAAUUUGAUUCUUUCAUCAAAUCCACCAUUGCAAUUAAUAGUAUCUGCACAAGAUCCGUUCCAACCGCAUAGUUACAAGAAGCGCAUCGAGCCUCGAUGACUCACGAUUCUCCGUCUUCUAACAAGUCUUCUGAACGUGGAAAUUCCAUCGAACGGAAGGGAGGGGAGGGGGAGAGGCGGAAGGACAUCGACUGUGCGAUAAUCCAGAAUCUGGCUUCUGAUAAACGGUUCUGAUAAUACUGGCAGCCGAUAAACCACGGGGGCUGUUUACUCGUGGCUCAGUCACAGCGUACGUAUAUACACGAUAAACACGUAUAUUCCUGGUCACAUUGCUAUCUACACACUGGCUGCUCCCCCCCUCCGCUGAAUCGUGAUCGAUCUGGCCGCGCGGGCAGAUCGGACGAUUGUUGCACGACUGGUCGAGAGAAUGGUUUGAAGAAGUUGGAAUUAGAAGAAAGUUGAAACAGAAGAUUCUCCGUUAUUUAUAGAGCGAUCGUCGUACGUAAGACGAUACGUAAUAUAACUUUUACCAUUGUUUGAAAAUGUUAAAGAUAAAGAUUGUAUAUACAGUUAUUUAGUGAAAUAAUAUUAUGUCACGACAAUUUCUCAGAUACGAUCACUAAGAAAUGCAAUCUGAACAUUUCUAAAACUUUAGAGGUUACAAAAUCGUCAAAAGUAUCCAGUUUUUUUUUUAAAAAUAUAGAUAAAUUCGAUUCCACGCGCAAAGUUUCCAAAAACAGUUUCCGUGCUCGAUUCGAAUCGUUCUAAUUAUCCUCGAUCUUUCGCAUCGAGUCCUAUUAAACGACUGCGCGGCCAACAAUCAAUUCUUUCUGCCGAGAAAGGAAGAAAAAAAGAAGAGAGAGGGAGAGAAAGAGACAGAAGAAAGGAAAGAAAGUACGAAAGGGAAUAAAAAAUGGAUCAUCAUCACGAGCAAUCAGCGUAAUCAUCGAAUCGGCCGGUCUCUCUGAUUGUCCGGUGGUCAGGUAAAAUUAAUAAAUCGAGGGGCCGACAAUCGAGCGGACCCAUCUCGAGCGCGUGACAUUUAAGGGAAAAAGAAAAGCGAGAGUCGCGGGGAAGCGAAGCGGCGAGAGAGAGCGUAAUCUCAAUGGUCGUCGGACCGGCUGCUCGUUGGAGCUGGUUGGGGCUGGCCGGUUGGUUUGGCCCACUGGAGCGGACACCCGGAGGAAGCACACCCGCCGGAACGUGGCACGCUUUGUAGCCUCGCGCACGGUACACCGGCACACGUGCAGCCACGGAUACUCGCGGACACUUCCACGCGAGUAUAUAUACUUGGCCAGUAUCAUCUACAGGGUGGCCCUUUCAUCUUUGACACGGUGUAUUGUGUUCGUGUCGCGUUCUUUUUAGGGUAUUGUUGUUGCAAGAGGUUUGAAAUAGUCCAUUGUGCUGUGCUUAGUUGCGAUAUUGUGGAAAUAUUGUAUCAGAGUCGAAUGAGAGUGGAGCGAGAUGGAUAUUUCGUUUGUUUUUUCUCUUUUUGUUUGAGAAAGUUGUAGAUAGUUUGAAGCGAGAUUCGUUCCUGAGAUUUUGUGCAAUCUGAUGUUUGAUAAUAUUCGGAGAGAUUAUUCUUAGUCUUUUUUUUUCUUCUUCUUGAAAGCUUCUUCUUUAUUCUUGAAGAUGUUGAAAGAAGUUUGGGAUGAAGAAAGUUUGAUGAGGAAAUAUAAAAGGUUGAAAUAAGUGAAAAUCAUUUAUUCGUUAAAGAACAGGUGUAUACGAGACAAUUCCAAUUAAAUAUAAUAUAAAUUCAA
RNAcentral lists this long non-coding RNA (3147 nucleotides) under Apis mellifera (honey bee). RNAcentral's name for it is "uncharacterized LOC113219212". Lineage: Eukaryota; Metazoa; Arthropoda; Insecta; Hymenoptera; Apidae. The record is from RNAcentral.